UCCGAGAUCCAUGCGUCAUAUUCACAUAU
RNAcentral lists this non-coding RNA (29 nucleotides) under Bombyx mori (domestic silkworm). Lineage: Eukaryota; Metazoa; Arthropoda; Insecta; Lepidoptera; Bombycidae. The record is from RNAcentral.